Molecule: ribosomal RNA, 193 nt
Filed under: Escherichia coli
Lineage: Bacteria; Pseudomonadati; Pseudomonadota; Gammaproteobacteria; Enterobacterales; Enterobacteriaceae
Description: partial 23S ribosomal RNA
Rfam family: Bacterial large subunit ribosomal RNA
Source: RNAcentral
CGGAAGAGAUAAGUGCUGAAAGCAUCUAAGCACGAAACUUGCCCCGAGAUGAGUUCUCCCUGACUCUUUAAGGGUCCUGAAGGAACGUUGAAGACGACGACGUUGAUAGGCCGGGUGUGUAAGCGCAGCGAUGCGUUGAGCUAACCGGUACUAAUGAACCGUGAGGCUUAACCUUACAACGCCGAAGGUGUUU